Molecule: ribosomal RNA, 465 nt
Filed under: uncultured bacterium
Lineage: Bacteria
Description: bacterial SSU rRNA
Rfam family: Bacterial small subunit ribosomal RNA
Source: RNAcentral
GACGAACGCUGGCGGCGUGCUUAAUACAUGCAAGUCAACGACUUUUAGAGUAGCAAUAUUCUAAAGGAAGUGGCGCACGGGUGAGUAACACGUAGGUAAUCUGCCUUCAGGACUGACACAACUCGUCGAAAAGACGGGCUAAUAUCAGAUAAUGCAGCGGCUCCGCAUGGAGACAGUUGUUAAAGUACAAGCGCCUGAAGAUGAGCCUGCGGUCCAUUAGCUAGUUGGUAGAGUAAAAGCCUACCAAGGCAACGAUGGAUAGCUGGUCUGAGAGGAUGAUCAGCCACACUGGAACUGAGACACGGUCCAGACUCCUACGGGAGGCAGCAGUAAGGAAUAUUGCUCAAUGGCCGAAAGGCUGAAGCAGCAACGCCGCGUGAAGGAUGAAUGGCCUUUGGCCUGUAAACUUCUGUAAAAGGAAAACAGUACAGGUAUACCCUGAUUUGAUUGUACCUUUGAAGUAAG